GAUAAACAGUUUGCUUUUGGCAGUAACGUUUUUUGGAGUUCGUUUUGCCUUAGAGAUUCUUUGGUUUUGCGCUGACGGAUGCCAGCAGCAAUACAAAUCGCUCUGAGAUCGCUUCUGAAAAGAAAAACAGUUACUGAAACAGACGAGUGGUAGUGCUGUGAAAAGAAAGAGAGAAUAGUCAAUGUAUCAACUAAUGACAUUUCUGGAUUCCUUAAUUGAUAAAAAAUUCUUCUGGGGGGGGAAUGAUCUAGUAGACAAAGCCAUUGCUUCUGUGUUUGAAACACAGGAGCACACCAACAUUGACCACCUUAUGCUCUUCAUUUCAAAAAGAGUGAAGUCUUUCCCUCCAGAACAGCAAAGAAAAGCAUCUUGAGGACUUGCCAAUUUUAUGUUUGAUUUGAUGGAUGACAAUGAAUAAACCCUAAAUAUGUCCUUUAUUAUUGUGUUAUUAAAAGUGUAUCGAUAAGUUUAAUUUGUCUAACAAGAAAUUAAAUAUUUCAUUCAAGGCUUGUAUACUACUUACAUGUCCUGAGCAAAACUAAUUCCUUAAAUUUCUUAUGAGCAUGUAAUCUUAAAUUCAGUUAAUACGAAGUUUAUUUGAGGGGAAAAAAUAAGAUUACUUCUGUAUAUUCACAUUAUAUUAAGUAUAUAAAUCUUAUCACCUAUGAUUGUAAAAACAAUGGAUACUUUUUAAAUAAAUAAUACUAAUAAUUCACACAUGCA
Molecule: long non-coding RNA, 723 nt
Filed under: Stegodyphus dumicola
Lineage: Eukaryota; Metazoa; Arthropoda; Arachnida; Araneae; Eresidae
Description: uncharacterized LOC118184189, transcript variant X1
Source: RNAcentral